GUGACAGAAGAGAGUGAGCACACAUAGUGUUUUCUUGCACGAUGACGUUUCAUGCUUGAAGUUAUGUGUGCUUACUCUCUAUCUGUCAC
Molecule: microRNA precursor, 89 nt
Filed under: Cicer arietinum (chickpea)
Lineage: Eukaryota; Viridiplantae; Streptophyta; Magnoliopsida; Fabales; Fabaceae
Description: mir-156 microRNA precursor family
Rfam family: mir-156 microRNA precursor family
About the family: This family represents the plant microRNA (miRNA) precursor mir-156. Animal miRNAs are transcribed as ~70nt precursors and subsequently processed by the Dicer enzyme to give a ~22nt product.
Source: Rfam by way of RNAcentral